GACGAACGCUGGCGGCGUGCUUAACACAUGCAGGUCGAACGGAAAGGCCCUGCUUUUGUGGGGUGCUCGAGUGGCGAACGGGUGAGUAACACGUGAGUAACCUGCCCUUGACUUUGGGAUAACUUCAGGAAACUGGGGCUAAUACCGGAUAGGAGCUCCUGCUGCAUGGUGGGGGUUGGAAAGUUUCGGCGGUUGGGGAUGGACUCGCGGCUUAUCAGCUUGUUGGUGGGGUAGUGGCUUACCAAGGCUUUGACGGGUAGCCGGCCCGAGAGGGUGACCGGCCACAUUGGGACUGAGAUACGGCCCAGACUCCUACGGGAGGCAGCAGUGGGGAAUAUUGCACAAUGGGCGGAAGCCUGAUGCAGCAACGCCGCGUGCGGGAUGACGGCCUUCGGGUUGUAAACCGCUUUCGCCUGUGACGAAGCGUGAGUGACGGUAAUGGGUAAAGAAGCACCGGCUAACUACGUG
Molecule: ribosomal RNA, 468 nt
Filed under: uncultured bacterium
Lineage: Bacteria
Description: partial 16S ribosomal RNA
Rfam family: Bacterial small subunit ribosomal RNA
Source: RNAcentral